Molecule: transfer RNA, 67 nt
Filed under: marine eukaryotic metagenome
Rfam family: tRNA
About the family: Transfer RNA (tRNA) molecules are approximately 80 nucleotides in length. Their secondary structure includes four short double-helical elements and three loops (D, anti-codon, and T loops).
Source: RNAcentral
CGGGUGUAGUUCAAUGGUAGAACUCCAGCCUUCCAAGCUGGUAGUGUGAGUUCGAUUCUCAUCACCC